ACAACAAGACGGGGCCGUCCACGCAGGCAA
This 30-nucleotide small RNA is filed under the name Bombyx mori (domestic silkworm). RNAcentral's name for it is "ovarian small RNA-10916". Lineage: Eukaryota; Metazoa; Arthropoda; Insecta; Lepidoptera; Bombycidae. The record is from RNAcentral.